This 450-nucleotide ribosomal RNA is filed under the name uncultured bacterium. RNAcentral's name for it is "partial 16S ribosomal RNA". It matches the Rfam family "Bacterial small subunit ribosomal RNA", at positions 354 to 796 of the family's 1533-position model. The record is from RNAcentral.
GUGGGGAAUCUUCCGCAAUGGACGAAAGUCUGACGGAGCAACGCCGCGUGAGUGAAGAAGGUUUUCGGAUCGUAAAGCUCUUUCGUUAGGGACGAACGUGCUCUUUGUGAAUAAUGAGGAGUAAUGACGGUACCUAAAUAAGAAGCCACGGCUAACUACGUGCCAGCAGCCGCGGUAAUACGUAGGUGGCAAGCGUUGUCCGGAAUUAUUGGGCGUAAAGCGCGCGCAGGCGGGAUAUCAAGUCUGUCUUAAAAGUGCGAGGCUCAACCUCGUGAAGGGACAGAAACUGGUAUUCGUGAGUGUCGGAGAGGAAAGUGGAAUUCCAAGUGUAGCGGUGAAAUGCGUAGAGAUUUGGAAGAACACCAGUGGCGAAGGCGACUUUCUGGACGAUGUCUGACGCUGAGGCGCGAAAGCUAGGGGAGCGAACGGGAUUAGAAACCCGUGUAGUCC